GACGAACGCUGGCGGCGUGCCUAAUACAUGCAAGUAGAACGCUGAAGGAGGAGCUUGCUUCUCUGGAUGAGUUGCGAACGGGUGAGUAACGCGUAGGUAACCUGCCUGGUAGCGGGGGAUAACUAUUGGAAACGAUAGCAAAUACCGCAUAAUAGUAGAUGUUGCAUGACAUUUGCUUAAAAGGUGCAAUUGCAUCACUACCAGAUGGACCUGCGUUGUAUUAGCUAGUUGGUGAGGUAACGGCUCACCAAGGCGACGAUACAUAGCCGACCUGAGAGGGUGAUCGGCCACACUGGGACUGAGACACGGCCCAGACUCCUACGGGAGGCAGCAGUAGGGAAUCUUCGGCAAUGGACGGAAGUCUGACCGAGCAACGCCGCGUGAGUGAAGAAGGUUUUCGGAUCGUAAAGCUCUGUUGUAAGAGAAGAACGAGUGUGAGAGUGGAAAGUUCACACUGUGACG
This 462-nucleotide ribosomal RNA is filed under the name Streptococcus mitis. RNAcentral's name for it is "bacterial SSU rRNA". It matches the Rfam family "Bacterial small subunit ribosomal RNA", at positions 28 to 474 of the family's 1533-position model. Lineage: Bacteria; Bacillati; Bacillota; Bacilli; Lactobacillales; Streptococcaceae. The record is from RNAcentral.